RNAcentral lists this ribosomal RNA (468 nucleotides) under uncultured bacterium. RNAcentral describes it as "partial 16S ribosomal RNA". It matches the Rfam family "Bacterial small subunit ribosomal RNA", at positions 28 to 507 of the family's 1533-position model. The record is from RNAcentral.
GACGAACGCUGGCGGCGUGCUUAACACAUGCAAGUCGAACGGAAAGGCCCUGCUUUUGUGGGGUGCUCGAGUGGCGAACGGGUGAGUAACACGUGAGUAACCUGCCCUUGACUUUGGGAUAACUUCAGGAAACUGGGGCUAAUACCGGAUAGGAGCUCCUGCUGCAUGGUGGUGUUUGGAAAGUUUCGGCGGUUGGGGAUGGACUCGCGGCUUAUCAGCUUGUUGGUGGGGUAGUGGCUUACCAAGGCUUUGACGGGUAGCCGGCCUGAGAGGGUGACCGGCCACAUUGGGACUGAGAUACGGCCCAGACUCCUACGGGAGGCAGCAGUGGGGAAUAUUGCACAAUGGGCGGAAGCCUGAUGCAGCAACGCCGCGUGCGGGAUGACGGCCUUCGGGUUGUAAACCGCUUUCGCCUGUGACGAAGCGUGAGUGACGGUAAUGGGUAAAGAAGCACCGGCUAACUACGUG